AACGUAGGUUCCGAGCGUUAUCCGGAUUUCCUGGGCGUAAAGCGCGUUCAGGCGGUUUGGCAAGUCGGGCAUGAAAUCCUUCGGCUCAACCGGGGGAGGUUGUCCGAUACUGCUAAACUGGAGGGCAGUAGAGGGUGGUGGAAUUCCGGGUGUAGUGGUGAAAUGCGUAGAGAUCCGGAGGAACACCAGUGGCGAAAGCGGCCACCUGGACUGUACCUGACGCUAAAACGCGAAAGCUAGGGGAGCGAACGGG
RNAcentral lists this ribosomal RNA (253 nucleotides) under uncultured bacterium. RNAcentral describes it as "partial 16S ribosomal RNA". It matches the Rfam family "Bacterial small subunit ribosomal RNA", at positions 524 to 776 of the family's 1533-position model. The record is from RNAcentral.